RNAcentral lists this ribosomal RNA (375 nucleotides) under uncultured bacterium. RNAcentral describes it as "bacterial SSU rRNA". It matches the Rfam family "Bacterial small subunit ribosomal RNA", at positions 28 to 405 of the family's 1533-position model. The record is from RNAcentral.
GAUGAACGCUAGCGGCAGGCUUAACACAUGCAAGUCGAGGGGUAGAAGGAGCUUGCUCCUUUGAGACCGGCGCACGGGUGCGUAACGCGUAUGCAAUCUACCUUUUGCAGAGGAUAGCCCAGAGAAUUUGGAUUAAUACCUCAUAGUAUGUGAGGAUGGCAUCAUUUUCACAUUAAAGUCACAACGGCAAAAGAUGAGCAUGCGUCCCAUUAGCUAGUUGGUAAGGUAACGGCUUACCAAGGCUACGAUGGGUAGGGUCCUGAGAGGGAGAUCCCCCACACUGGUACUGAGACACGGACCAGACUCCUACGGGAGGCAGCAGUGAGGAAUAGUUCGGACAAUGGGCGCAAGCCUGAUCCAGCCAUGCCGCGUGCA